UAAUGAUCUUUGUCACAGUCUAAAAGAACUAGUCAUCCCCCUCAGCGUGACUCACCAGAAAUGUGCUCAAAGCUUCUCGUGUUUAAUACACAUGGAAAAUAGCACAUCCACCUGCUAAUGGAAGCCCCCUGAAGUGGUUCCCUGGGGAUCCACGGGUGACUACGUUGUUACAUCUUCCUGGGAGUGGCUUUUUUCUUUUUUCUUCUGGAAGGAGGUCAGAAGCCAAGAGGCAGUUUCUGUCCUAGAACAUACUGACCCCGGAUUGAAACCUAUUACAAUUCCAACCCCUUGGACCCAAGUCCCCUGAAAGGAGAACUGUCCCCAACCUUCAGCAGGCAGGCUCAACUUGCUGGCAGGACAGAGGGAAGAUAUGUUGGCAGGAAGGGUCAGAAAAGGGCCUCAUGCUAUAGUCACACACCCUGGCUCAGCCGGGUUCUUUGCAAAUUGCCACUGAUAAGCUGUUGCUCUGAGCUUUGUCCAUCACUCAUGAUCAUAAACCUGAGGUACAUUUGGUUUUAUCAGGAUAAGUAGUGUGUUUUUCAUGGCUUUGCUGAUGGUUAUCCAUACUCAGAAGACCCUGAAAACCAUGAGCUGGCCGCCCCCAUGAGAAGGAUCCCAAAUCCCAGUUUCCACUGAAGGAGACUCCAGCAAAGAGUUUUUCGGGGGCUUUGUGCUUAUGUGCUUUUUUUUUUUUAGUUUUGGUUUUGUUUUGUUUUGUUUUAAACUGGUUAGCGCUGUUCACAGAGUCCUGAGGAGGAUUUUUGCUCUGAGCCCUGGCUCCUGGGACAGCACGGCCCCUCCACCACAUCCUGCCUCCUCACUUCCUCCUCGCCUUUCCCAGCUCCAGAAGCCAAGAUGGGAAGUCUCUCACGACCCUGUGGCUUGGCCGGGAGGAAGCCUGAACUUGAUACAGCUGGCUUUCCUGGGGCCUGGGGAGAGUGUUUACCCCUGAGUCUGUGCUUCUCUGCUCACCUAUUUUUAGACGGGUGCUGCAGACCUUCCUGAGGGCUCCCCCACAGGUCUCUUUCGGGGCGGGGCCGGGCCAGGGAUGGGCCCCCCGGGCCGACGGGACUGUUGCACACCUGAGCAGGGAUCCGGGCAGCAGUUAAAUGCGGUUUGCUUUAACGUCAAAAGGAAGAGAAAUAAACACCCUAAACCGACUCCCUGCCUGUCUCCCCAGAACAAAGGUCUGAGUUUUCUCUUCUACUUCAGCAGCCAGCCGUGGAGGGGAGCUGAAGACCCGGGACCUGGAAAUGUGCUCACAUCGGAGGGGCAGGCAGAACGGCGGGACGGUCGUAGUCAGGACCGGGCAGGGCGCUGGGGCCACGCCUCGGCUGAGAGCUCCCCUCCGGCGACCCUCUUACCACACACUCCCUCACCCUCGCCAGACCACACCGGUCCCUGGGCUCCCGCACUGGCCACCUGCUGCGUUGGCGGAACUGUCCUUGAUGAUCUGCUCUGUGCCCUUCGCGACCCAGGUCGAGCGCCACCAAAGCCUCCAUCACCUCCGAACAAUCGAUGCGUGGCUGUGACCCUCACAUGACGGAGCUGCGUCGAGGGACAGAGACCAUAGGUCCCUGCUGGCCCUGUGGCUCUCACCUCCCCCCGCCCCCGCUCUGCCCCAGGAUGCUUGCACCUCCCUGGCAAGCUGCCCGGUGAAGCACCACCCUGAAACAUGGAGACAGGACGGGAGAGGCACAGACCCACCUGAGAAGGAAACGCAGGGGCCGAGGCCGAGGGUGGGCUGGAUCCAGAGAGGCGAUGGUGAAGAGAGAGCCCAGGAGGGAGUCCCAGGCUGGAGCGCUGAGGGGCUGGAGGUGAGGCAAUGGGCAGAAGGCCAAGGCUAUGGAGAAGGAGACUGACCACGGAGGUGCCCUGUUCCACAGAAGAGACCACUGACCUGCCUUCCAUAGGGGCACAGCUGAUAGGAACAGCGUUGCCCCAAUAGAGAGCUCACUGGAUAAUCUGGAUCGUAUCCAUGGUUUAGACUUAAGGCCAAACAACUUAACAUCCCCACCCUCCAUCAAAACAAAAUGAAUCACAGCACUAGCAAAUGAAGAAUGUCUGUAGAGCACCCCCUGACCUCGCUGAUGAAGCCAGCAGUGUCCUGGACGAGGUCGAUCAGAAGAGAGACUGCCUGAGCACGCGUCUUCAGAUGAUGGUGGCCUGAGUCUCGCCGUUCUGUAAGCCUCUCUUCUGCAGAGGGGAACGAUGUCUCACAAGGAAGGAGCAAGGCCAGGAUGCAGGUGAACAGGCAGAAGCAUGAAGGCACGGGAGGAAAAGCAUCCCUCCCCUAUAUUAAUAAUAAUGAUGAUGAUAAAUAUUCAGAUGAGAUCAUUUCCAGAGUGCAUUUAAGUAUAUUGGUCAAUCUUUUUUUUUUUUAAGAUUUUAUUUAUUUAUUUGAGAGAGAGAGAGAGAGAACAUGAGCAGGGGGCAGGGGCAGAGGAAGAAGCAGACUCCCCACUGAGCAGGGAGCCUGAUGCGGAACUCGAUCCCAGAACCCUGGGAUGGUGACCUGAGCUGAAGGUAGAUGCUUAACCGACUCAGCCACCCAGGCACCUAUAUUGGUCAGUCUUUAUAACUAUCACCUUCGGUAGCCUAUUAUUAGCCUUAGAAUAAGCAAACUAUUUAAGAGAUUUCUCUAAGACCACAAACCUAGAAAGUGGCAGAGAUAGGGCUCAAUAUCAAGAGGGCAAAGCCCACCAGCUUUCUGUCUGCCACAUGGGUAAUUAAGUUACUCUAGCUGGGAACACGAGUUGAAUGUAAGGUCAGGCCCUGACUCCGUGCCAAGCAUCCCAGCCAAGCCUUCUCCCUCCUAUCACCGGUUCUUCUAAGUGUCUGUUGGCACCUUACUCUCUCUUCCUUGCUGGCUCCCAGCAGGGGAAAUUCUCUAACAGGCUAUACUUUUCCAAUGUAUAAUUACACAUAAUUUAAAAUUUUUCCAAUAAUGGAUUAAAAUCCCAAAUAUAGAGGUUAGUCACUAGUCUAGGAUUUAUGGCAGUAAGCACCACCUAAAUAUAUUGGCAACUUACUGUAAAUAAAAUAGCAUGGUCUAGGUGCUGAAGUUAAACAGAUCUAAGAAUACGGUUAUUUAUUACAACAGAAAGAAGUCAGUUCAAAUUACUGAGAGAAAACAUGGAUUAUGUAAUAAAUGAUGAUUAACUGACUAGUUAAAAAGGAACUUUAUCUUAUUUCUUGCCAUCAGCAUAUAGAUGCAUCAAAUAUUUCAGUAUAAAAAAACAAAGCCACAAAUGUAUGGGGUAAAAACAUGGAUGAAUAUUCUUACAAUCUUGGAAUGGGGAAGGGGUUUUUUUCACCCCAAGAUGAUACUGAUUCAGCAUACAAUUUUAUAUUUAUUUUUUUUAACUUAAAUUCAAUUGGCCGACAUAUAGUACAUCAUUAGUUUCAGAUGUAGUAUUCAACUAAUUUAUCAGUUGUGUACAAUUUUCAAUUUAAAUAACAUUUAAGGAGAAAUCAUGAACUGGGAAAAAUUAAUUGCAAGCUGUAUCACAGACCAAGAGUUAUUAUCUUUCCUAUACAGGAACUCCUAUAAAUCGGUCAAAGGAAACAGGCCCAUAAAAAUGGGA
Mirounga angustirostris (Northern elephant seal) is the source of this 3587-nucleotide long non-coding RNA. RefSeq lists it as uncharacterized. Lineage: Eukaryota; Metazoa; Chordata; Mammalia; Carnivora; Phocidae. The transcript is spliced from 3 exons. The record is from RefSeq and is a predicted model, not a curated record.